AGAUCGUUAGCUCAGUGGUAGAGCGCUUGUCUUACAAAUAAGUGGUCACUGGUUCAAGUCCAGUACGAUCUA
Molecule: transfer RNA, 72 nt
Filed under: Cyanidium sp. THAL103
Lineage: Eukaryota; Rhodophyta; Bangiophyceae; Cyanidiales; Cyanidiaceae
Description: tRNA-Val
Rfam family: tRNA
About the family: Transfer RNA (tRNA) molecules are approximately 80 nucleotides in length.
Source: RNAcentral